RNAcentral lists this transfer RNA (91 nucleotides) under Actinomadura coerulea. Its description in RNAcentral is "tRNA-Gly". The record is from RNAcentral. Lineage: Bacteria; Bacillati; Actinomycetota; Actinomycetes; Streptosporangiales; Thermomonosporaceae.
GCGCCAGCUCGUCGGGCGGUCGCUGCUCGCCCUCGGCGGGGUGGGCGUCAUCACGCUGGUGCUCGGCUGGUUCGUCGCCGACCGGGCGCUC